RNAcentral lists this ribosomal RNA (253 nucleotides) under uncultured bacterium. RNAcentral's name for it is "partial 16S ribosomal RNA". It matches the Rfam family "Bacterial small subunit ribosomal RNA", at positions 524 to 776 of the family's 1533-position model. The record is from RNAcentral.
UACGGAGGGUGCGAGCGUUGUCCGGAAUCAUUGGGCGUAAAGGGCGCGUAGGUGGCCCGGUCAGUUCGUGGUGAAAGCGCGGGGCUCAACCCCGCGUCGGCCAUGAAUACUGCUGGGCUCGAGCACUGUAGAGGCAGGUGGAAUUCCGGGUGUAGCGGUGGAAUGCGUAGAGAUCCGGAAGAACACCGGUGGCGAAGGCGGCCUGCUGGGCAGUAGCUGACGCUGAGGCGCGACAGCGUGGGGAGCAAACAGG